This 420-nucleotide ribosomal RNA is filed under the name uncultured bacterium. Its description in RNAcentral is "bacterial SSU rRNA". It matches the Rfam family "Bacterial small subunit ribosomal RNA", at positions 359 to 776 of the family's 1533-position model. The record is from RNAcentral.
GAAUAUUGGUCAAUGGACGCAAGUCUGAACCAGCCAUGCCGCGUGCAGGAUGAAGGCGCUAUGCGUUGUAAACUGCUUUUAUCAGGGAAGAAACCCCCCGAUUCUUCGGGGGCUGACGGUACCUGAGGAAUAAGCACCGGCUAACUCCGUGCCAGCAGCCGCGGUAAUACGGAGGGUGCAAGCGUUAUCCGGACUCACUGGGUUUAAAGGGUGCGUAGGUGGAUUGGUAAGUCAGUGGUGAAAGCUCCAGGCUUAACUUGGAAAUUGCCAUUGAUACUGCCAAUCUUGAGUACAGUUGAGGUGGGCGGAAUGUGCGGUGUAGCGGUGAAAUGCUUAGAUAUCGCACAGAACACCAAUUGCGAAGGCAGCUCACUAAACUGUUACUGACGCUGAGGCACGAAAGCGUGGGGAGCAAACGGG